Molecule: ribosomal RNA, 497 nt
Filed under: uncultured bacterium
Lineage: Bacteria
Description: partial 16S ribosomal RNA
Rfam family: Bacterial small subunit ribosomal RNA
Source: RNAcentral
GAUGAACGCUGGCAGCGUGCCUAAUACAUGCAAGUCGAGCGAACAGAUGAGGAGCUUGCUCCUCUGACGUUAGCGGCGGACGGGUGAGUAACACGUGGAUAACCUACCUAUAAGACUGGGAUAACUUCGGGAAACCGGAGCUAAUACCGGAUAAUAUAUUGAACCGCAUGGUUCAAUAGUGAAAGACGGUUUUGCUGUCACUUAUAGAUGGAUCCGCGCCGCAUUAGCUAGUUGGUAAGGUAACGGCUUACCAAGGCAACGAUGCGUAGCCGACCUGAGAGGGUGAUCGGCCACACUGGAACUGAGACACGGUCCAGACUCCUACGGGAGGCAGCAGUAGGGAAUCUUCCGCAAUGGGCGAAAGCCUGACGGAGCAACGCCGCGUGAGUGAUGAAGGUCUUCGGAUCGUAAAACUCUGUUAUUAGGGAAGAACAAAUGUGUAAGUAACUAUGCACGUCUUGACGGUACCUAAUCAGAAAGCCACGGCUAACUACGUG